GACGAACGCUGGCGGCGUGCUUAACACAUGCAAGUCGAACGGAAAGGCCCUGCUUUUGUGGGGUGCUCGAGUGGCGAACGGGUGAGUAACACGUGAGUAACCUGCCCUUGACUUUGGGAUAACUUCAGGAAACUGGGGCUAAUACCGGAUAGGAGCUCCUGCUGCAUGGUGGGGGUUGGAAAGUUUCGGCGGUUGGGGAUGGACUCGCGGCUUAUCAGCUUGUUGGUGGGGUAGUGGCUUACCAAGGCUUUGACGGGUAGCCGGCCUGAGAGGGUGACCGGCCACAUGGGGACUGGGAUACGGCCCAGACCCCUACGGGAGGCAGCGGGGGGGAAUAUUGCAAAAUGGGCGGAAGCCUGAUGCAGCAACGCCGCGGGGGGGAGGAGGGCCUUGGGGUUGUAAACCGCUUUCGCCUGUGACGAAGCGGGAGUGACGGGAAUGGGGAAAGAAGCACCGGCUAACUACGU
Molecule: ribosomal RNA, 467 nt
Filed under: uncultured bacterium
Lineage: Bacteria
Description: partial 16S ribosomal RNA
Rfam family: Bacterial small subunit ribosomal RNA
Source: RNAcentral